CCUACGGGUGGCAGCAGUAGGGAAUUUUGCGCAAUGGGCGAAAGCCUGAUGCAGCAACGCCGCGUGAUUGAUUAAGCCUUUCGGGGUGUAAAGAUCUGUCAGUGGGGACGAAACUUGACGGUACCCACAGAGGAAGCACCGGCUAACCCCGUGCCAGCAGCCGCGGUAAUACGGAGGGUGCAAGUGUUGUCCGGAAGCAUUGGGCGUAAAGUGUGCGUAGGUGGCGUAUUAAGUCUGGUGUUAAAGGCAGAAGCUCAACUUGUGGUCGGCACUGGAUACUGGUAAGCUUGAGUGCGGGAGAGGGAAACGGAAUUCCUGGUGUAGCAGUGAAAUGCGUAGAUAUCGGGAGGAACACCGGUGGCGAAGGCGCGUUACUGGGCCGUAAUUGACGCUGAGGAACGAAGGCCAGGGUAGCGAAUGGGAUUAGAUACCCCAGUAGUC
RNAcentral lists this ribosomal RNA (441 nucleotides) under uncultured bacterium. RNAcentral's name for it is "partial 16S ribosomal RNA". It matches the Rfam family "Bacterial small subunit ribosomal RNA", at positions 338 to 795 of the family's 1533-position model. The record is from RNAcentral.